RNAcentral lists this long non-coding RNA (731 nucleotides) under Rattus norvegicus (Norway rat). Its description in RNAcentral is "long non-coding RNA NONRATT024530". The record is from RNAcentral. Lineage: Eukaryota; Metazoa; Chordata; Mammalia; Rodentia; Muridae.
CUUAAAACUGAAAGAAUGCCAGCUAUUUUAGCCAGCCACUUACAUCAUGCAGCCUCCGUCUUUGGGAGAGUAGUUGCCCUUCCUUGCCUUGUUUCUCAGGUCCCCGCCCCACACUGCAGGCAAUCUGGGUCCUUCUGAAGGCAUCUUGUUGCCACUUAGCAAACCCAGUCCCUUAGAACAUGACAUCAGCCUGAGCAACAAAGACAGAGGACAGGUUCCUGUCAGAGACAAGACAUUGGGUCCAUGAUGCCAACUCUCUGGGUGGCCUGUUUAAUGGGGAGAAAAAAUUAAAUACCCCAGCCAAGUCCUAUGGAAACCAAAGAGGGUAAGUAAUUUAUUUAUACUGGGGUAGAAGAGGUGAGCAGUAUUUCUGUCUUGCUCACUAUUUCCUGAAGACUUCCUAGACAUAAACGUUCGUUAACAUCCCAGAAAGAGGACAUAUUUUUCUCUGUGGUUUUCAAUAUUUUCUGCUAAAUAUAUUCCAGUGAACUGUUUACCCAGAGUUUCGGCCUUCAGACCUUUAUGUACUGCUAACACCUUGAGGCUAUUCCUCUGGGGCUUAUGGGGAGUGGUGUUUGUUCAUUAAAGAGGACUUUAGGUGCUGGCUGGCCUGAGGCACAGUUGAGGGCUGUACACCAGACUGUGCUUUCGGUGGUUUCAGGUUGAAGGAACAGUCAGAGACCUUUUUGGUUUCAAGCAUGGGGAGAAUGCCACAGAACCUGGGACCAGUC